This 853-nucleotide ribosomal RNA is filed under the name uncultured bacterium. RNAcentral describes it as "bacterial SSU rRNA". It matches the Rfam family "Bacterial small subunit ribosomal RNA", at positions 62 to 882 of the family's 1533-position model. The record is from RNAcentral.
UCGAGCGAGCGGAACCACAGAUUUACUUCGGUAAUGACGUUGGGAAAGCGAGCGGCGGAUGGGUGAGUAACACGUGGGGAACCUGCCCCUAAGUCUGGGAUACCAUUUGGAAACAGGUGCUAAUACCGGAUAAUAAAGCAGAUCGCAUGAUCAGCUUUUGAAAGGCGGCGUAAGCUGUCGCUAAGGGAUGGCCCCGCGGUGCAUUAGCUAGUUGGUAAGGUAACGGCUUACCAAGGCGACGAUGCAUAGCCGAGUUGAGAGACUGAUCGGCCACAUUGGGACUGAGACACGGCCCAAACUCCUACGGGAGGCAGCAGUAGGGAAUCUUCCACAAUGGACGCAAGUCUGAUGGAGCAACGCCGCGUGAGUGAAGAAGGUUUUCGGAUCGUAAAACUCUGUUGUCAGAGAAGAACGUGUGUGAGAGUAACUGUUCACGCAGUGACGGUAUCUGACCAGAAAGUCACGGCUAACUACGUGCCAGCAGCCGCGGUAAUACGUAGGUGGCAAGCGUUGUCCGGAUUUAUUGGGCGUAAAGGGAACGCAGGCGGUCUCUUAAGUCUGAUGUGAAAGCCUUCGGCUUAACCGAAGUCGGGCAUUGGAAACUGGGAGACUUGAGUGCAGAAGAGGAGAGUGGAACUCCAUGUGUAGCGGUGAAAUGCGUAGAUAUAUGGAAGAACACCAGUGGCGAAAGCGGCUCUCUGGUCUGUAACUGACGCCGAGGUUCGAAAGCGUGGGUAGCAAACAGGAUUAGAUACCCUGGUAGUCCACGCCGUANACGAUGAAUGCUAAGUGUUGGAGGGUUUCCGCCCUUCAGUGCCGCAGCUAACGCAUUAAGCAUUCCGCCUGGGGAGUA